This is a long non-coding RNA of Mytilus californianus (California mussel), 4299 nucleotides long. RefSeq lists it as uncharacterized. The record is from RefSeq and is a predicted model, not a curated record. NCBI's taxonomy places the organism in Eukaryota, Metazoa, Mollusca, Bivalvia, Mytilida, Mytilidae. The transcript has 2 exons.
CAGUAUAGCAGAUUUCGUGUAUUGCAUAUUUACAUAGUAGGAGUAUUAAAAAUUUAGAUUUAGCGCUAACUAAUGUAUGAUUUAAAGCUGAUUUAUUGAAACCUAUUUUUUAUAUUGGUGUAAGGUAACAACCACACAACAAUAAUAUCAAAAGGACAAUUAGAGGUCAGCAUACAGUCCGCAACAAAUCGAUAUACCAAGCUCUGUACUAUCAUCCCAAAGCAAAAAGAUAUAGAAGUAAGCAACUAUGUGUCUCCGUUUGCCUUCAACAAUGAGCAAAACCCAUACCUCUUAGCAAGCUAUUAAAGACUCCGACAUGACAAAUGCAAUACAACUCUAACGAGGAAACUAACGGCCUGAUUUAUGUACAAAACAAUUAAACGAAAAACAAAUAUGAUAUACAGCAACAAACGACAACCACUGAAUUACAGGCUCUUGACUUUGGACAGGCACAUACGGAAUGUGGCGGGUUAAACCCAAAACUAACUAUAAGUUUGAUUUAUUAAGAUAAUGUUCAACGCGAAAUGAUUUGACAUAUUUAUAAAUUAUUAGACGUCCUUUUCCAAAUCGGCCCUGGUAUCAUCCCGAUACUCCCAUAUCAUCCCAUGCGCUGGCUUAUUGGUUAAAAAAGAUAGGAUCGGUAAUGCUAAGAAAUAAUCGUAUUUGUAUUUAGUUAUAAAAAUGAAUCAAAUAGGACUUGACCAAUUUAAAACAUCUUCUAAACUAUUAUAAAUGUUUUCCUUCGUCCCAUAAAUUUUAGAUUUACAAUAUUUUUAAAUUGCACUUAAUAUUUACACCUGUCCAUAAAUAUAAAAAAAAAGAAAACAUUAUUAUACAACCGUUCAACAUAGUUCUAUCAUAUGUAAAUGAUGUUGUGGCAUCACUAUGGCAAAAUUUAACGAUGUGCGGGAUAACUUUGCAUGUAUGGAUUUUGUUCAGAGAAUGCCUGACAUUAUAACAGAAUAGCAGUUUAUUAAUAAAAGAUGGGAAACGUAUGUAGUGGAAAAGGAGGUGGUAUGGGACAAAUGAAUAAAUUUUGUAAAUGUGCUGGCGACCGACCUCACUCUGGACAUUCUAGGAAAGGAAGUGGUAAAGGACGUAAAGGAUCUCCCCCUGCCCAUGGAAGACGAAGGAAAGGCUCGCACAGUAGUUAACAUGCAAAACAUGUUUAUAUGUGUGGAUUUAUACAAUUGAAUUAUUUAUGUACAUAUCAUUUUCUAUGUUGAAUUGGUAUAUUUUAAAUAUUUGACACUAUAUCGACAAGUGAUGAAUUUUCACGACAGUAUUAUUUCAUGUUUAGAUUUUUUGAAAAAUGGGCAAUUCCUAAUGCUUUGAAGUUAAGUUGAAAAAUAUUAUUUGAGCAAAGUAUACACAAAAUGUUAGCUAUGUGAAGAAUGAUUGAAUUCUUGUUUUCAUAGAACAGUUAUUUUAUUUAUGUUGCUAUAUAAAUGCUCUAUGGAAGUAUUGUCCAGUAAUGUAAGAUUUUAUUAUUUUAUAAUGAUAUUAAUUAGUGAUUCUACAAAGAGUGAUAUUCAAAAAUCAUAAAGUCUGCUGAAUACAGAUUUUUUAAUCUUGCCAAGUGUAGUCUUUUUUAUAAUAAGACCUCCGCAUAUUUGUAAUUUGUAGGAAAUUAAUUUUUUAAUGAUUAUAGAGAAAAUACACUUUCUCAUUGGUUAAAGCUAUUCUUCUUGUCUGUUUUGGCUUACUUGUGAUCUUAAGUACCACUAAUUAAAAUAUAUUUCAGGAACCAUUUAAGAUAAAACCAAACUAAAGCCUCACAAUGUACAAAACAAAAUAAAAUUGUGUGCAUCAAAAGGUAAAGCCGUUUUCCCCCAAACUUAAUAACAGUAUAAAAGUACUUGCAAUUGUCGGUUGAAAAUAUAUUUCACUUUGAAAAUGGGACCAAUGAUUCAGCUUAUUUCUUCCUUCCUUCAGGGGUUACAAACAUAAUGAAGAUUAUAUACUUGUUUCUUUCUCUAAUAUUUGUUCUUAACGGUCAUUAAAUAAAAAGUUUACAAGAAUAAUCGCCUUUAUUGACUUUUCGGUUCUAAUGCUUCUGAACUGUAGCGUCUUCAUUUAUUAAAAAAAAAUUGUGCAUCUCAGAAUUCAUAUCUGUUCCUUGAUUAAACAAACUGCAAACACCAUUACAAAUUACAAAUAUUUCUCCCUGCCACUUGCAUCAGAGGUUCUUUAUGAUAAAAAUGCAUUGUCUCCAUCAUUUUAUAAUCGUCAACUUACAUAAAAUCUACGUCACGAAUGACAAUGACCACAUGUUCUAUCCCGUCCUUAUUCUUAGUUAUUUUAACUAUUUCCGAGUACAUAUAUGAAUUAUCACCGGAUGUAUGUUGCAUACAGGAAUGGGGUAAUCGUAAUCUGUAAUCGUAAUCGAUUGUAAUUGAGUACAUUUUUUCAAGUAAUCGACAGUAAUCUGUAAUCGACAACAUUUUCGAUUACAUGUAAUCGUAAUUUAAUCGAUUACAGCAAAAAUUAUGAUGUAAUCAUCGAUUACUUUUCGAUUACAUUUCGAUUACUUUAGUAAUAUAGUUUGAAAUAAAAACUAGUUUAAAUGAAAAUAGACAACUGCAUGUAUUCAUCAGUUCAAAGUACUGAUAAAAUAGAAUGUAUCAAUAUUACUUGAGAGUUUAUCAAAUACCUUAUUUAGAUCUGUUGUCUCAAGCUGCAUUAUGAUAAACCAGAUCUCCUAGGCUAACAAAUUUUACUUUAUUUCCAGCUUUUGAAAUAAAUGACUUCCAAUGCUUGUCAAUAAUUUGAGAUAUUUUUUAUUAAACACAAACAUGUUAAAAAUAAGAAAAUAGAUUCAAAAUAGUGAAAACAUAAAUGUACUUGUAUUCCUAAGUUAAGUUCUGUACUAUACUAAAGAAGAAUGGUUUUAUAUAUGUAAUAACAUUUUUUAAAGCUUAAUUUUCAAUUAUAUUUAGAACUUUAGCUUAGAGUAGAUAAACUGUUGAUUCGUCAUAGUGUUAUGACAUCAAAAUUAGGAAAGAAUACAAAACAUUUUUACAAUGAACCAAUGCAUUGAAAUUUUUGUUCAGUAAUAGAUACAUGUAUCCCAUUGUGUCACUAAAAUGUAAAUUGUUUAUGAUUUUGAAAAGAGAACAAAGAAUUCUCAAAAACCUUCUUGUUGUUAUAAUUACUAAUCAGAUGAUCAAAGACCUCUAAUCAAUGAGAUACAGACUAUGUUUUGAUUUCAAUUAUGUUUAAUUAAAUGAGAGAUUUAAUACAUGUUGUUGCCCUAAGGUUAUAAAUUGUUCUCCAUUGGCAAUUGUAUAACCUGUAAUUAGGUGGAUUAUCCAAACAAAAGGAUAAAUUCAUUCAUGUAACUAUAAACUAUAAAUUUCCAUCUUUUAAAAUUAGUUAAAAAACUAACUCUUCUUCUUUUUUAUAUAUUUUUUUUUCAUAGGAAACCUCUCAUACUUAUUAUAUUCAAAUAUACCAUCCUGUUAAAUAAGAGUAAAUAUCAAAAUUAAGUCAGUAUGACAGCAAAAAUUUGCAAACUAUGGAGAAAAUGACCUACAAUAUAAGGAAGCAUUUGAUACAAUUGUCGAUUUCAUUUCAAGAAUGUUCUCAUAUAUAGAUAUAAGAAGAUGUGGUAUGAGUGCCAAUGAGACAACUCUCAAUCCAAGUCAAAAUUUAUAAAAGUAAACCAUUAUAAGUCAUGUUUAUCAUCGCUCACUCAAGAAUAUUUAAAUAGUUUAGUUCCCCUCUAAGAGUGUCUAUCUAGAAAACGAUUUGAAAACAUUUGAAAACAAUGCUUAAAAAGCUGUUUUUGUAAAGUUCCAAAUUACCACUCUAAAUAAGUUGUGUUUAAACUUUCUUCAAUAUGUGUAAUUGAUAAUAAUCGAAAAGUAAUGUAAUUACUUUUGAUAAAGUAAUCGAUUGCAAUCGAUUACAUACAAAAUUCAGAGUAAUCGAUUAAUAAUCGAUUGCACAAAAAUCCUUCAUGUAAUCGAUUAUUAAUCGAUUACAUUUAUCAGUAAUCGUGCCCAUCCCUGGUUGCAUAUUCUCUCGAUCUAUAAUCUUUGAACGCUUUUGUGUUUGUUUCUGCUGAUAAAGCAGUCAACAACGUUGUUCUUGUUUCAUGUAAGUAUUAUAUGGAAAAAUUAAGACAAUAAAUAAUACGUUCAUACCUACAACUUAUACUGAAGAUAAGGUCGUAGAUGAACACGCUUUAACAACGUCUGAGCUGAGAACUGAUACUGAUCACCAUUAGACUUCCUAAAUUACUUUUGGAAAUUUAUUAAUUACGUUUUAUAUCAGCAUUCAUAAAAUUUCACUACA